AGGGCGUAAAGCGCCUGUAGGUUGUUUAAUAAGUCUGUUGUUAAAGACUAGGGCUCAACCCUAGAAAAGCAAUGGAAACUACUAGACUAGAGUAUGGCAGGGGUAGAGGGAAUUUCUAGUGUAGCGGUGAAAUGCGUAGAUAUUAGAAAGAACACCGGUGGCGAAAGCGCUCUACUGGACCAUUACUGACACUCAGGGGCGAAAGCUAGGGUAGCAAAAGGGAUUAGAUACCCCUGUAGUCCUAGCCGUAAACGAUGGAUACUAGAUGUUGUACGUAAAGUACAGUAUCCUAGCUAACGCGUUAAGUAUCCCGCCUGGGGAGUACGCUCGCAAGGGUGAAACUCAAAGGAAUUGACGGGGGCCCGCACAAGCGGUGGAGCAUGUGGUUUAAUUCGAUGCAACGCGAAGAACCUUACCAGGGCUUGACAUACUACAAAUUCUUUAGAGAUAGAGAAGUGCCUUCGGGAAUGUAGAUACAGGUGGUGCAUGGCUGUCGUCAGCUCGUGUCGUGAGAUGUUGGGUUAAGUCCCGCAACGAGCGCAACCCUUGUUUUUAGUUACUAAUUCGUUAGGUUUUCUAGAAAGACUGCCGGUGACAAACCGGAGGAAGGUGAGGAUGACGUCAAGUCAGCAUGCCCCUUAUGUCCUGGGCUACACACGUGCUACAAUGGUUAAGACAAUGAGUCGCGAGCUCGCGAGAGUCAGCUAAUCUCAUAAACUUAGCCUAAGUUCAGAUUGUAGGCUGCA
RNAcentral lists this ribosomal RNA (746 nucleotides) under uncultured marine haptophyte. RNAcentral describes it as "bacterial SSU rRNA". It matches the Rfam family "Bacterial small subunit ribosomal RNA", at positions 555 to 1309 of the family's 1533-position model. Lineage: Eukaryota; Haptophyta. The record is from RNAcentral.